AACUGGAGAUGGCGACCGGCGCACGGGUGAGUAACACGUAUCCAACCUGCCGAUAACUCGGGGAUAGCCUUUCGAAAGAAAGAUUAAUACCCGAUGGUAUAAUAAAACCGCAUGGUUUAAUUAUUAAAGAAUUUCGGUUAUCGAUGGGGAUGCGUUCCAUUAGGCAGUUGGUGAGGUAACGGCUCACCAAACCUUCGAUGGAUAGGGGUUCUGAGAGGAAGGUCCCCCACAUUGGAACUGAGACACGGUCCAA
Molecule: ribosomal RNA, 253 nt
Filed under: uncultured bacterium
Lineage: Bacteria
Description: partial 16S ribosomal RNA
Rfam family: Bacterial small subunit ribosomal RNA
Source: RNAcentral